Molecule: ribosomal RNA, 201 nt
Filed under: Clostridioides difficile
Lineage: Bacteria; Bacillati; Bacillota; Clostridia; Peptostreptococcales; Peptostreptococcaceae
Description: partial 16S ribosomal RNA
Rfam family: Bacterial small subunit ribosomal RNA
Source: RNAcentral
CGCGAAGAACCUUACCUAAGCUUGACAUCCCAAUGACAUCUCCUUAAUCGGAGAGUUCCCUUCGGGGACAUUGGUGACAGGUGGUGCAUGGUUGUCGUCAGCUCGUGUCGGGAGAUGUUGGGUUAAGUCCCGCAACGAGCGCAACCCUUGUCUUUAGUUGCCAUCAUUAAGUUGGGCACUCUAGAGAGACUGCCAGGGAUA